CUUUCGCGCCUCCGCCCCUGGGUUGGCGGACCGGGGAAGGAGCGAAGAUGGCGGAGUGAGGCGUGCCCCGGGCAGCUGGCCUGCGGGCCCGGGGCAGGCCUCCCGCGAGAAGCGGAGUGCUUGUGCUGGACCGUGUGAGGAACCAUAUCACACAAGAUGAAAAAUUUCCUGACCUUAGGUGCUUUUAUAUUCAGCUCAACAUUCUGAACUCAGGACUUGGCCCGUAAGUAGGAAUGAGAUAAUCAUCCCAAGUCCUGUUGUAGCAGCUGAGAGGCUCCAUAGAAGCAGCACACUAAACUGUUAAGAGCAACAGAAGAUGAAGAUAAAAAUGAGUACAAGCCAGCUGCCAUGGCUCGCUUUUAACCCAGCUCCUGGGACCUGGGGAACUGAGGAAUUCCUAUGUGGACUUCUCAAUGAGGCGUCCUGGUUCUUCCAUCCUGUUACUUUCCCCAAUGAGAUGCAGAUGUCUUUCUACCGAUUACCUCCAUGGUUUAGGAUGCAAAGACUGCCUUUCUUUUACUUCACGUCAGACUCAACACAGGAAAGCCGGGAGGAUGCAGCCGUCCUGUUGACUUCAGGAAGAAAAUAAACAAUGGACUUGGGUCUUCUGCAGCUUUUUAGUUAGAAAGACAGUGUUUGCAAGUAGAAGGAAGAUGUUGAAUUUGAAACAAGUACUUAGGUUCUGUGGCGUGUGUUUUCUUUUUAAAAGAUCCAAACAAGAAGACUGAACAAAAUACCAAGUGUGGGUGACUUCAGGUUUUUUUUUAAUGUCUUCCAAUUUUAACACUAUUAUAAGCACAGUUGACCGCAGUAAGUUCCAAAUAUUUAAUAUAAUUUGAAGUGAAAGAAAUGUUAUCUAAAUUCUGGCUCACUCUUUGACAGAUUUCCUGGACAAAAACAAGAUACGAUAAAAGCAGAAACCAAGGGUUGGUUUUGUAUGGGAGUGAAACCAUUACAGUUUUAUGUGUAUAAAUCUACAUUUUUAAACAAGAUUUUUCUCUUGGAGAAGAAACCUGUUGUUUAUAAGAAGGCUUUGGACAGUUUAAUAGUCUUAAAUGUUCUGCUUUGCUGUUCUAGUCCUUCUCAGGAAGGCCCAGCUGGGCCUGUGGCUAGUUCAGAAUGGGAGGAAACAUAGGCUGGGACAAUGCUCACCCUGAACUGCCAGCAUGUGGGAGACCAAGGCAGGAAGAGCAGAUGUUCAGGGCCAGCUUGGACAUCAUGAUGAGACUCAAAACCAGCAGGAAAAAAAAACAGAGUCCAGUAACACCCUCUUUUAUAUUCCUUUUGUGGAAUCAUAUGUAGGAUGUGAGACUGGGUUGGAAGGGAACUGGCAUAUGUGGUCUUGAGUUAAGGUGAUGUGGUGGACCCUGGUGUGUAACUGGCCUUCACCUUUGGACAUAGAGGAAUGAAGGAAAAACUAAGGCUUGGCGUAUAAAUCCUUUCUUCUAAGAAAUAGAAGCAAAGCUGUCUAAUGCAGCAUUGUCUGACUUUCCAACAUUUUUACAUUAUGUAGUUGCAUUUUUUAUAAAAAUAUAAAUAAGUUCCUUCAACCCAAAAUAGGUACUUGGACAGGUUUUUUUUUUUUUUUUUUUCUGGGUGAUAAUGUAAUGUUAUGCUGAAAAUCUGGGACUCAGGUAAAUUUUCCCAGUUUGAAUUGAGCUAUGUUACCAGAGAAUGGGCCUCAGAAGCAAUGUUCCCAGUCCUGUGAUUGGUUCACUAUAAUCUCAAAAGAAAUUUGGAAUAUGAAUCAAAUUUCAAAUAAGAAAAGCAGAUCCGAUAAGAAGUGUGGAUCUAGUUGCUAGUCACUGUAGAUUUAAAGGAAAUUCAGGGCCUGGGGUGGGGGGGGAUAACUCGAGAAAAUUAAUUCCAGUCAGGGGUGACAUGCUCUUUCUUCCUUUAGUAGUUAUGUUAGAAGGAACUAUUGUGGAGAUGUCUCUUUCUUCCCAGUCAAUGGAAGUUUAUUAUAUGGAUGCCAGGCUUUUACAUGAGAGGGUACCAUUGUUUGCAAAGGUUGCCGGUAGAGAAGGAGUUUUAAGCUUGUUAGAUGAGAGAGAAACAGAUGCUGUUAGAGCUGACUUCUGGAACGGGUUCUCAGUGCUGCAGGUGCUGUGAAUUUGAGUCAUAAAAAUGUUCAAAAUUAGAAAAUGUUGAACAUACAUGGUUAGUCAGAUUGGGCAACAAAAUUGAAUUUAUGCUAAAAGCUUUUUUCAUGAAUAUUUAUUAUAAAUAACCUAUUAAUGAGAGCAAAUAAUAAUAAAAUACUAGAGAAAUAACAUGUUUAAGGUAACCUAAAUUGCUGGGCUUGGUUGCUCACACCUGUAACCACAUUUUGACGACUGAGGCAGGAGGAUAGGCCACAAAGAUCAAGGCCAGCCUGAAAGACAGACACUGUCUCAAAAUGAAACAAAAAUAUAACCCACAUUUUUCAAGGGCCCCAGCCACUUAUAUUUUUAUUUAGAAGACAAAGCCAGCUGGUGGUUGAGAGCACUUCCUAGAUGCUGAGCUGUCCUGCACCUUGCCCUUGGGCAGGCAGGGGCUGUCACUGCUAGGGAAGUGUCCCCCAUUUGCUCCAGGUGCUUCAGGUGAGUGCACUUUGUCUGAGACGCUCGCUCCUGCAUCCUGCAUCAUUAACACCAAAUGGUGUUCACAGCAUGGGUGGAUCCCAGCUCUAAUUGCCUGGUGUGUGUGUGUGUGUGGCACUUUUCCAUUUAUAGUCUUACUUGGGGUUUCUUCUUAAUAGCAGCAAAGACUACCAUUUUAGAGUUGUGCCUCCAUCUAUAGCUGUGCCUCCUCCCUUCUCCAUGUAAGCUGGCAGUUUUUCUUUUGAAGUUUCUAAACAAAAACGGGAUAUGUGCAAUAUAUAUAAAUAUAUAUAUAUAAUGUAUAUUUUAAUACUUGUGGACAAGUGUUACAAGUUGUUUAAGAACAACAAAAUCACCAAUGUCUUCCAUUUUGAGAUGUGUAUAGUUUUUGUAAGCAGUACUGCUUGAUAGCAUAUUGUAGUGCCAUGUUAGGGGUUAGUGCAUGAAUUUAGUAUAAUUUUAAACUUCAAGAUGAAAUAUUGAUAAUAACCAGUAGUGUAAAAAGUGGAAAAUCCUAGACCUUUCCUUUUUUGUGUGUAUGAAUAUUUGACAGUCUCCCUGGGGAUAGGAGAAAAAGGCCAAAACAACUAAUGUCUGAACAGAAGUGUGGGUUCACACUGAGAGACACUGUGCUUGGGGGAAUGUUAGGCCUUUCAGAGGGGAGCUAGAAUAGCUACCUUUGUAGCUCCUCAGUCCUCACAGCAAGGCCUGGGUUGAGGCUUCCCUUGCUCUCUUAGUUUGAAGCUAGAUUGGUCCUGUAUUGAUUUGGCAUUGUAUGUUUUGGGUUCACUUUUCCUCUUUUGUGUCCAGAAAAUAAUUUUCUGUUUUGCAUGUCUGAGAUGCUGUGCUGAUUGCUUUGGAAUGUUUACUCUGUGGCCAUUUCCUUUCCUGCUUGCAGCAUGUGUGCUAACUGCAAAGCCUUGUCAGCAGUUUGGAGUAUCCUGUACUUUAGGCUUUGCCCCAUCCCACAUCUGACUUGGGUGUUGAGUCCAGUCUCUCUCAUGAGAACUGAUAGCUCAGUGGGGCCCAUGUAGGUUGACAAGAAGUAUGUUGGCCUCUCCUUUGGUAAUUGUUGAGAGCUUUCACGUUUUUUCUACUUUCCUUAUGGAAAUAAAGUAGUUGCUUUGUUCUGAAAAAUAAA
This is a long non-coding RNA of Mus caroli (Ryukyu mouse), 3723 nucleotides long. RefSeq lists it as uncharacterized. Lineage: Eukaryota; Metazoa; Chordata; Mammalia; Rodentia; Muridae. The record is from RefSeq and is a predicted model, not a curated record.